RNAcentral lists this ribosomal RNA (460 nucleotides) under uncultured bacterium. RNAcentral's name for it is "partial 16S ribosomal RNA". It matches the Rfam family "Bacterial small subunit ribosomal RNA", at positions 338 to 795 of the family's 1533-position model. The record is from RNAcentral.
CCUACGGGAGGCAGCAGUGAGGAAUAUUGGUCAAUGGGCGUAAGCCUGAACCAGCCAAGUCGCGUGAGGGAUGAAGGUUCUAUGGAUCGUAAACCUCUUUUAUAAGGGAAUAAAGUGCGGGACGUGUCCCGUUUUGUAUGUACCUUAUGAAUAAGGAUCGGCUAACACCGUGCCAGCAGCCGCGGGAAUACGGAGGAUCGGAGCUUUAUCCGGUUUUGUUGGGUUUAAAGGGGGCGUAGGCGGCCUUUUAAGUCAGCGGGGAAAGUCUGUGGCUCAACCAUAGAAUUGCCGUUGAAACUGGGAGGCUUGAGUAUGUUUGAGGCAGGCGGAAUGCGUGGUGUAGCGGUGAAAUGCUUAGAUAUCACGCAGAACCCCGAUUGCGAAGGCAGCCUGCCAAGCCAUGACUGACGCUGAUGCACGAAAGCGUGGGGAUCAAACAGGAUUAGAUACCCCUGUAGUC